This is a long non-coding RNA of Eriocheir sinensis (Chinese mitten crab), 2672 nucleotides long. RefSeq lists it as uncharacterized. The record is from RefSeq and is a predicted model, not a curated record. Lineage: Eukaryota; Metazoa; Arthropoda; Malacostraca; Decapoda; Varunidae. The transcript has 3 exons.
GGCUGAUUCCCAUCUCGCACCAGUCUCUCCGCUUCUCCCUGUCGCUCAACACACCAGCAGGACGAUUAGGUGACGAGUAGGUUACAGCCCAGCAGGUUCAAGUGUUCAAGUCCACCUGACUUCAACUCUGAGUUUCCCGUUACUGUAACUACACGUAUAACCGACACCGUGGUGACUCGCUGCUUUAUGCAUUAUAUUCGCCAGUAAUUGUAUGUAUUCUGUCACAUACUCCAGAAUGAAGGUUUGGCUCUGAGUCCUUCAUUUACGUGCAGUUUAGCCAAGAUCUCAUCGCUGACAUACAUUAGCAAGUCCAGGUAUGUAUUCUGUCACAUACUCCAGAAUGAACACUUUGGAGGUGUGGUGAACAGAAGCAUGAAUGAAUGCCUUUACUGAACCAUUCCUAUAGUUUUCUGCCAUUUUAAAUAUAGUAGACACUAGACCUAGUUUAGAACAACCCAUGAAUACUAAAAUACACUGCUUGUGGAGUGAUUCAUAUGAGUACAUUGUGAAAAAUAAUCACUCGUUUUAAAUAAAUGUGCCAGAUAAUUGCUUUAACCCGGUAGCAGCGACGGGCCAGAUUUGUGCCAUGAUUUUAACCCCAAAAAAUAGAUGAUACAUAAUCUGAUCACAAAUGCUUUGAUAUAUAUUAUGAAAUGGUUUGUGUGAGGGGUGAUUUUUUCUCGUUUUUCUUGCUUAGAGGGACCAUUAAGAAACAUGAUCCCCGCUGCUACCGGGUUAAUGUACACUAUUUAGUAGCGCAUUUAUCUUUUCCUCAUCUGUGUCAAGCAGGGUUUUGUUAUGAUACCAUCUAUGUUACUGAGGAAAGUGGAAACAUCCAUACUGCCUCAUGUCACUGUGAAGUCAUGACAUUUGGGGUUGUCAUGAAUAUAGUUGCUGCUGAAGGAGGAAGGGCGGAGUUCUCUUUGCUUGGCAUGGUGGGGAGUGUUUGUUUAGGAAUGUGCUUUGUGUCACACAACACUCUAUAAUGCAGUGUGUCCUUGAUGGAACUGAAGGCUCCUGUUUUGGUGAUACUUCUCUACUAACUAAACCAUUUCAAAGAGUCCAUUUAGUCGUUUGAUUACACGGGUCCUUUCCUCCCCUCUGCUCUGCCACACAGUCCAACACCUAUUUUUCCCUCUCAUAUGUUACCUAUAGGUAACAUAUGAGAGGAAGGCAUAGGUGUUGGGACUGUGUGGCAGAGCAGAGGGGAGGAAAGGACUUGCUGAAUCGAACACCCAAAUGGACUUUUUGAAAUAGUUUGACAAUAGUAACUGCUUGUCAUUUUUUAGCACAAGGCAUAAAAGUAGAACUAGGAAAAUUAGUGGAGAGAAGGUAGUUUUUGUAAUAUUGGUAAUAUAGAAAAAAUAUUGUUUUCACUUGGGAUAAUGCAAAUAAAUAUUUAACUGCAAACUAAAGAAAUAUAAACCAAGAGAGAAAAAUCAGUCAGCUGACUGGGAUGUAAAGUAUGUGUGUACAGGUCAGGUGACAGGGUGAGGUUAUGCCUGUUGUGGGAUGAUGUCACUUCGAGCUGUGAAAAUAAUAUUUAAUAAUCACUAAAGUAUUGUAACUGGUUAAUUAAUUUUACUGAAGAUAAUUUGUUACACAAAAUAAAGGGAAAAGGAAAUAUUAUCUCUGAUAAAUGAAUACUGUUGAGCUGAGUAGUUCCUCACAAGCCCAGCCUAAGAGGGUCAAGCAGAGGGUCUGGUGGAGGUCAGGGUAGUGAAGCUGCUGCAAGAGGUGUUAGCAGGUUGUGGUGGGCCUCCUCUCUGUAGCUUGUAAGCAUGGAGUUAUGGGCAGGUGACUUGCUUGCUUUGUAGGGACGUCUUGGAUUGUGGGGGCUUCAAACUUUAGUUGGCUUGCUUCUUGGUUCAGCUUGGCUUUAUAAUGUCUGGCUGUGGAUGGGAUGGCAGGCUGGUGGGCAGACCACGUGAGUAGCUGGUUGACUGGCUGGCAGGCUGAGUGCUGUGGCUAGGCUGGCUGUCUGGAUAAGGGAUUGGCUGUUGUGCUUCUUGUGUUGUGUCUAGUGAUGGACAAGCUGCUGAGUUAGGGCCACUUUCACAGUCAUUUUGUUUGUUUUGAUCGUUACCAAUGGCGGCGAUCACCACUAUAGUAAUUCCACGUAAAACUGGCUGCGCGGGGUUAGCCUAGCCCCGCACCUUACUACACACUCUCAACACCUCUCGCUUCCUCUGCAGCUGCCACUACCCCAUCGGCCAGUUUCACGUGGAAAACUAUAGCGUCGAUCACCACCAUUGGUAACGAUCAAAACAAACAAAGUGACUGUGACAGCAGCCCUUAGUGUUGAUGCGCACAAAAUUCACUUGUAGUUUUGAGGGGGGGCCACACUGCACAGCCUUAUUGUGGGGGGGUUCAGGGAUUUGUGAGUAACAUUUAUUGGUUCGUCCUCUGUAGUAUUGAGUGUUUUUAUUGGAACAGUGGGUCAAGCCGUUUGGAAUUGUUUUUAUGCUUGAAUGCAUCACUGAUAAUGUUUUUUAGUCACAACUCGCUGGAGCACUCAUUAACCCGGUAGCAGCGACGGGCCAAAUUUGUGGCUUUACCGUGUAGCAGCGACGGGCCAAAUUUGUGGCUUCACCGUGUAGCAGCGACGGGCCAAAUUUGUGGCUUUACCGUGUAGCAGCAGCAGACCAAAUUUGUGGCUUUACCGUGUAGCA